CGGGUGAGUAACACGUGAGCAAUCUGCCCCUGACUCUGGGAUAAGCGCUGGAAACGGCGUCUAAUACCGGAUACGAGCCGAGCAGGCAUCUGCAGCGGCUGGAAAGAACUUCGGUCAGGGAUGAGCUCGCGGCCUAUCAGCUAGUUGGUGAGGUAAUGGCUCACCAAGGCGACGACGGGUAGCCGGCCUGAGAGGGUGACCGGCCACACUGGGACUGAGACACGGCCCAGACUCCUACGGGAGGCAGCAGUGGGGAAUAUUGCACAAUGGGCGCAAGCCUGAUGCAGCAACGCCGCGUGAGGGACGAAGGCCUUCGGGUUGUAAACCUCUUUUAGCAGGGAAGAAGCGAGAGUGACGGUACCUGCAGAAAAAGCACCGGCUAACUACGUGCCAGCAGCCGCGGUAAUACGUAGGGUGCGAGCGUUAUCCGGAAUUAUUGGGCGUAAAGAGCUCGUAGGCGGUCUGUCGCGUCUGCUGUGAAAUCCCGAGGCUCAACCUCGGGCUUGCAGUGGGUACGGGCAGACUAGAGUGCGGUAGGGGAGAUUGGAAUUCCUGGUGUAGCGGUGGAAUGCGCAGAUAUCAGGAGGAACACCGAUGGCGAAGGCAGAUCUCUGGGCCGUUACUGACGCU
Molecule: ribosomal RNA, 630 nt
Filed under: Agrococcus sp.
Lineage: Bacteria; Bacillati; Actinomycetota; Actinomycetes; Micrococcales; Microbacteriaceae
Description: bacterial SSU rRNA
Rfam family: Bacterial small subunit ribosomal RNA
Source: RNAcentral